Molecule: long non-coding RNA, 204 nt
Filed under: Phoenix dactylifera (date palm)
Lineage: Eukaryota; Viridiplantae; Streptophyta; Magnoliopsida; Arecales; Arecaceae
Description: long non-coding RNA (PDAC_LNC022989)
Source: RNAcentral
ACAGGAGCGCCCCAAGGAGAAACACUAGGCCUGAUAAAACCUUUAUCCAGUAACUCCUGUAGUUGUUCCUUCAGCUCUUUCAAUUCAGCUGGAGCCAUUCGAUAUGGAGCUUUUGAUAUUGGACCAGAGCCAGGAAUUAAGUCGAUGGAGAACUCAAUCUCCCUAUCAGGGGGUAAUUCUGGCAAUUCAUCUGGAAACACAUCU